GGGGCAACCUGGCGGCGAGUGGCGAACGGGUGAGUAAUAUAUCGGAACGUACCCUGGAGUGGGGGAUAACGUAGCGAAAGUUACGCUAAUACCGCAUACGAUCUAAGGAUGAAAGUGGGGGAUCGCAAGACCUCAUGCUCCUGGAGCGGCCGAUAUCUGAUUAGCUAGUUGGUGGGGUAAAGGCCUACCAAGGCAUCGAUCAGUAGCUGGUCUGAGAGGACGACCAGCCACACUGGAACUGAGACACGGUCCAGACUCCUACGGGAGGCAGCAGUGGGGAAUUUUGGACAAUGGGCGAAAGCCUGAUCCAGCAAUGCCGCGUGAGUGAAGAAGGCCUUCGGGUUGUAAAGCUCUUUUGUCAGGGAAGAAACGGUGGGUUCUAAUACAGCCUGCUAAUGACGGUACCUGAAGAAUAAGCACCGGCUAACUACGUGCCAGCAGCCGCGGUAAUACGGAGG
This 458-nucleotide ribosomal RNA is filed under the name bacterium 16WB. Its description in RNAcentral is "bacterial SSU rRNA". It matches the Rfam family "Bacterial small subunit ribosomal RNA", at positions 76 to 531 of the family's 1533-position model. The record is from RNAcentral.